UUCGCAAUGCCCGAAAGGGUGACGAAGCGACGCCGCGUGUGGGAAGAAGGCCUUCGGGUUGUAAACCACUGUCGGGAGUUAAGAAAUGCAAGGAUGUUAAUAGCGUUUUUGCUUGACUAAGGCUCCGGAGGAAGCCACGGCUAACUCUGUGCCAGCAGCCGCGGUAAUACAGAGGCGGCAAGCGUUGUUCGGAAUUAUUGGGCGUAAAGAGCACGUAGGCGGCUAUAUAAGUCGGUUGUGAAAGCCUUCCGCUCAACGGGAGAACAGCAUCCGAUACUGUGUGGCUUGAGUGUGGGAGGGGAGAGCGGAACUUCUGGUGGAGCGGUGAAAUGCGUAGAUAUCAGAAGGAACGCCGGCGGCGAAAGCGGCUCUCUGGCCCAUAACUGACGCUGAGUGUGCGAAAGCUAGGGGAGCAAACGGGAUUAGAUACCCCGGUAGUCCUAGCCGUAAACGAUGGGCACUAAGUAGAGGGGUUU
Molecule: ribosomal RNA, 476 nt
Filed under: uncultured Planctomycetales bacterium
Lineage: Bacteria; Pseudomonadati; Planctomycetota; Planctomycetia; Planctomycetales
Description: bacterial SSU rRNA
Rfam family: Bacterial small subunit ribosomal RNA
Source: RNAcentral